Molecule: non-coding RNA, 95 nt
Organism: Mycena metata
Lineage: Eukaryota; Fungi; Basidiomycota; Agaricomycetes; Agaricales; Mycenaceae
Source: the annotation of a GenBank genome assembly
AGCAGUAUGGUGUAUUGCUGCACACGGGGUACCUGUGUUCCUUUCGGUCUCCUGCAUUGAACCCCGAGGCCCUUGUUCGACUCAAGGUGCUGCUU